RNAcentral lists this transfer RNA (69 nucleotides) under human gut metagenome. It matches the Rfam family "tRNA". Rfam says of the family: Transfer RNA (tRNA) molecules are approximately 80 nucleotides in length. The record is from RNAcentral.
GCUUGUAGCGCAGCUGGUAGCGCAGUUGACUCUUAAUCAAUUGGUCGAGGGUUCGAAUCCCUCCAAGCC